AUGGAGUCGCCGCUCGAACUGCUGGCCGCGCUACCCGCGCUGAUCACGGCGCUGGCGCUGCUGUUCGCCUGGCUGCUGCUGCGGCGUGGGGCGGCCAGGGCUCCGGAGAGCACUACCCGGGCCGGGGACCCCGGGGCUCCCGCGCCGCCUGAGCCUCCCGAGCCCUGCGCCCUGGAGCCCCCAGCCAGUACAAGAAGAUGAUGACCAAAGAAGAACUGGAGGAGGAACAGAGGAUUGAGCUGACCUCUGACCUCACCUCCCUGUAGAGGGUCCCCUAGCCCCGGGCCACAAAUGUUCUUGCAAACCCUUGUGGUAAGGAGGCCCAGCUGGAGGGGGCAUCCCCUGACCACACCUCUGUGCUACGUCUGAUGCUGGGGCUUGCAGAGGCUGCUCAGGCUGGCUUCGCCCUCCUGUCUCUGGGUUCUGGAGAGAAGAUAGCUACGAGACAGAACUGGACCCAGCCGAAUUUGGGGGAGCGGCCCUAGAACCUGUCCCCUGAGAAAUAGCACGAGUGCAGAGCUGGUGAGAUGGCUCAGCAAAUAAAAGUGCUUGCUGCC
This 557-nucleotide long non-coding RNA is filed under the name Rattus norvegicus (Norway rat). Its description in RNAcentral is "long non-coding RNA NONRATT006302". The record is from RNAcentral. Lineage: Eukaryota; Metazoa; Chordata; Mammalia; Rodentia; Muridae.